RNAcentral lists this ribosomal RNA (934 nucleotides) under Kluyveromyces marxianus. RNAcentral describes it as "LSU rRNA". The stretch from base 182 to 934 matches the Rfam family "Eukaryotic large subunit ribosomal RNA", at positions 1 to 798 of the family's 3401-position model. Lineage: Eukaryota; Fungi; Ascomycota; Saccharomycetes; Saccharomycetales; Saccharomycetaceae. The record is from RNAcentral.
GUUGCCAUCUGCGUGAGCAGGGCUGCGUGUCAAGUCUAUGGACUCGACUCUUGCACAUCUACGUCUUAGGUUUGCGCCAAUUCGUGGUAAGCUUGGGUCAUAGAGACUCAUAGGUGUUAUAAAGACUCGCUGGUGUUUGUCUCCUUGAGGCAUACGGCUUUAAACCAAAACUCUCAAAGUUUGACCUCAAAUCAGGUAGGAGUACCCGCUGAACUUAAGCAUAUCAAUAAGCGGAGGAAAAGAAACCAACCGGGAUUGCCUUAGUAACGGCGAGUGAAGCGGCAAAAGCUCAAAUUUGAAAUCUGGCGUCUUCGACGUCCGAGUUGUAAUUUGAAGAAGGCGACUUUGUAGCUGGUCCUUGUCUAUGUUCCUUGGAACAGGACGUCAUAGAGGGUGAGAAUCCCGUGUGGCGAGGAUCCCAGUUAUUUGUAAAGUGCUUUCGACGAGUCGAGUUGUUUGGGAAUGCAGCUCUAAGUGGGUGGUAAAUUCCAUCUAAAGCUAAAUAUUGGCGAGAGACCGAUAGCGAACAAGUACAGUGAUGGAAAGAUGAAAAGAACUUUGAAAAGAGAGUGAAAAAGUACGUGAAAUUGUUGAAAGGGAAGGGCAUUUGAUCAGACAUGGCGUUUGCUUCGGCUUUCGCUGGGCCAGCAUCAGUUUUAGCGGUUGGAUAAAUCCUCGGGAAUGUGGCUCUGCUUCGGUAGAGUGUUAUAGCCCGUGGGAAUACAGCCAGCUGGGACUGAGGAUUGCGACUUUUGUCAAGGAUGCUGGCGUAAUGGUUAAAUGCCGCCCGUCUUGAAACACGGACCAAGGAGUCUAACGUCUAUGCGAGUGUUUGGGUGUAAAACCCGUACGCGUAAUGAAAGUGAACGUAGGUGAGGGCCCGCAAGGGUGCAUCAUCGACCGAUCCUGAUGUCUUCGGAUGGAUUUGAGUAAG